GAUGAACGCUGGCGGCGUGCCUAAUACAUGCAAGUCGAGCGAACGGACGAGAAGCUUGCUUCUCUGAUGUUAGCGGCGGACGGGUGAGUAACACGUGGAUAACCUACCUGUAAGACUGGGAUAACUUCGGGAAACCGGAGCUAAUACCGGAUAAUAUUUUGAACCGCAUGGUUCAAAAGUGAAAGACGGUCUUGCUGUCACUUAUAGAUGGAUCCGCGCUGCAUUAGCUAGUUGGUAAGGUAACGGCUUACCAAGGCAACGAUGCAUAGCCGACCUGAGAGGGUGAUCGGCCACACUGGAACUGAGACACGGUCCAGACUCCUACGGGAGGCAGCAGUAGGGAAUCUUCCGCAAUGGGCGAAAGCCUGACGGAGCAACGCCGCGUGAGUGAUGAAGGUCUUCGGAUCGUAAAACUCUGUUAUUAGGGAAGAACAUAUGUGUAAGUAACUGUGCACAUCUUGACGGUACCUAAUCAGAAAGCCACGGCUAACUACGUGCCAGCAGCCGCGGUAAUACGUAGGUGGCAAGCGUUAUCCGGAAUUAUUGGGCGUAAAGCGCGCGUAGGCGGUUUUUUAAGUCUGAUGUGAAAGCCCACGGCUCAACCGUGGAGGGUCAUUGGAAACUGGAAAACUUGAGUGCAGAAGAGGAAAGUGGAAUUCCAUGUGUAGCGGUGAAAUGCGCAGAGAUAUGGAGGAACACCAGUGGCGAAGGCGACUUUCUGGUCUGUAACUGACGCUGAUGUGCGAAAGCGUGGGGAUCAAACAGGAUUAGAUACCCUGGUAGUCCACGCCGUAAACGAUGAGUGCUAAGUGUUAGGGGGUUUCCGCCCCUUAGUGCUGCAGCUAACGCAUUAAGCACUCCGCCUGGGGAGUACGACCGUAAGGUUGAAACUCAAAGGAAUUGACGGGGACCCGCACAAGCGGUGGAGCAUGUGGUUUAAUUCGAAGCAACGCGAAGAACCUUACCAAAUCUUGACAUCCUUUGACAACUCUAGAGAUAGAGCCUUCCCCUUCGGGGGACAAAGUGACAGGUGGUGCAUGGUUGUCGUCAGCUCGUGUCGUGAGAUGUUGGGUUAAGUCCCGCAACGAGCGCAACCCUUAAGCUUAGUUGCCAUCAUUAAGUUGGGCACUCUAAGUUGACUGCCGGUGACAAACCGGAGGAAGGUGGGGAUGACGUCAAAUCAUCAUGCCCCUUAUGAUUUGGGCUACACACGUGCUACAAUGGACAAUACAAAGGGCAGCGAAACCGCGAGGUCAAGCAAAUCCCAUAAAGUUGUUCUCAGUUCGGAUUGUAGUCUGCAACUCGACUACAUGAAGCUGGAAUCGCUAGUAAUCGUAGAUCAGCAUGCUACGGUGAAUACGUUCCCGGGUCU
This 1372-nucleotide ribosomal RNA is filed under the name uncultured bacterium. Its description in RNAcentral is "bacterial SSU rRNA". It matches the Rfam family "Bacterial small subunit ribosomal RNA", at positions 28 to 1381 of the family's 1533-position model. The record is from RNAcentral.